UUGCAGCUACGGCGACAUGGUGCCAGAGACAAUAGCUGGCAAAAUUGUGGGCGGCGUCUGCUCGCUCAGCGGUGUGCUGGUCAUCGCCUUACCUGUACCUGUUAUCGUAUCGAAC
Molecule: non-coding RNA, 115 nt
Organism: Drosophila ananassae
Lineage: Eukaryota; Metazoa; Arthropoda; Insecta; Diptera; Drosophilidae
Source: Rfam